RNAcentral lists this ribosomal RNA (429 nucleotides) under Actinomycetes bacterium. RNAcentral's name for it is "Actinobacteria bacterium partial 16S ribosomal RNA". It matches the Rfam family "Bacterial small subunit ribosomal RNA", at positions 355 to 776 of the family's 1533-position model. Lineage: Bacteria; Bacillati; Actinomycetota; Actinomycetes. The record is from RNAcentral.
UAGGGAAUCUUCCGCAAUGGGCGAAAGCUUGACGGAGCAACGCCGCGUGAGUGAUGAAGGUCUUCGGAUCGUAAAACUCUGUUAUUAGGGAAGAACAAAUGUGUAAGUAACUAUGCACGUCUUGACGGUACCUAAUCAGAAAGCCACGGCUAACUACGUGCCAGCAGCCGCGGUAAUACGUAGGUGGCAAGCGUUAUCCGGAAUUAUUGGGCGUAAAGCGCGCGUAGGCGGUUUUUUAAGUCUGAUGUGAAAGCCCACGGCUCAACCGUGGAGGGUCAUUGGAAACUGGAAAACUUGAGUGCAGAAGAGGAAAGUGGAAUUCCAUGUGUAGCUGUGAAAUGCGCAGAGAUAUGGAGGAACACCAGUGGCGAAGGCGACUUUCUGGUCUGUAACUGACGCUGAUGUGCGAAAGCGUGGGGAUCAAACAGG